This 468-nucleotide ribosomal RNA is filed under the name uncultured bacterium. Its description in RNAcentral is "partial 16S ribosomal RNA". It matches the Rfam family "Bacterial small subunit ribosomal RNA", at positions 28 to 507 of the family's 1533-position model. The record is from RNAcentral.
GACGAACGCUGGCGGCGUGCUUAACACGUGCAAGUCGAACGGAAAGGCCCUUCUUUUGUGGGGUGCUCGAGUGGCGAACGGGUGAGUCACACGUGUGUAACCCGCCCUUGACUUUGGGAUAACUUCAGGAAACCGGGGCUAAUACCGGAUAGGAGCUCCUGCUGCAUGGUUGGGGUUGGAAAGUUUCGGCGGUUGGGGCAAGACUCCCGGCUUAUCAGCUUGUUGGUGGGGUAUUGGCUUACCAAGGCUUGGACGGGUAGCCGGCCUGAGAGGGCGGCCGGCCACAUUGGGACUGAGAUACGGCACAGACUCCUACGGGAGGCAGAAGUGGAAAAUAUUGAACAAUGGGCGGAAGCCUGAUGCAGCAACGCCGCGUGCGAGAUGACGGCCUUCGGGUUGUAAACCGCUUUAGCCUGGGACAAAGCGUAAGUGACGGUAAUGGGUAAAGAAGCACCGGCUAACUACGUG